UAGAUACCCUAGUAUAAAUUUUGUUUAAAUUAGUAUAGAGGAAAAUUAAUAAUUUUGGCGGUUAAUUAUAUCAAUUAGAGGAGCUUGUCUAUUUUAAGAAUUUGCUCUUUAAAUUUUAGUAUUAUUUGUUUAUUCAUUUCUGUUAUUAAAUGUAUUAGUUUAAGAUAAUAGUAUUUUAUAUUUCAGGUCAAGAUGUAGCUUUUAAUAUUUUGAGAUUAGCUACAAUUAUGAGGUAAAUAAAUGGAUUUAAGAUUUAUGAAAGUAUUUAUUGAAAUUGAAUUUAGUUGUAAUAUUAAUUAUGAUGUUAAUAUGAUUUUAUAUGGUUGAUGUACAUAUCGC
Molecule: ribosomal RNA, 339 nt
Filed under: Discocyrtus carvalhoi
Lineage: Eukaryota; Metazoa; Arthropoda; Arachnida; Opiliones; Gonyleptidae
Description: partial small subunit ribosomal RNA
Source: RNAcentral